This 500-nucleotide ribosomal RNA is filed under the name uncultured bacterium. RNAcentral's name for it is "partial 16S ribosomal RNA". It matches the Rfam family "Bacterial small subunit ribosomal RNA", at positions 30 to 523 of the family's 1533-position model. The record is from RNAcentral.
AUUGAACGCUGGCGGCAUGCCUUACACAUGCAAGUCGAACGGCAGCGCGGACUUCGGUCUGGCGGCGAGUGGCGAACGGGUGAGUAAUACAUCGGAACGUACCCUGUUGUGGGGGAUAACUAGUCGAAAGAUUAGCUAGUACCGCAUACGACCUGAGGGUGAAAGUGGGGGACCGCAAGGCCUCACGCAGCAGGAGCGGCCGAUGUCUGAUUAGCUAGUUGGUGGGGUAAAGGCCCACCAAGGCGACGAUCAGUAGCUGGUCUGAGAGGACGAUCAGCCACACUGGGACUGAGACACGGCCCAGACUCCUACGGGAGGCAGCAGUGGGGAAUUUUGGACAAUGGGGGCAACCCUGAUCCAGCAAUGCCGCGUGUGUGAAGAAGGCCUUCGGGUUGUAAAGCACUUUUGUCCGGAAAGAAAUGGCUCUGGUUAAUACCUGGGGUCGAUGACGGUACCGGAAGAAUAAGGACCGGCUAACUACGUGCCAGCCGCCGCCGUAA